RNAcentral lists this long non-coding RNA (3292 nucleotides) under Cricetulus griseus (Chinese hamster). RNAcentral describes it as "lncRNA (ENSCGRG00015032240.1)". The record is from RNAcentral. Lineage: Eukaryota; Metazoa; Chordata; Mammalia; Rodentia; Cricetidae.
CAAUAACAAAAAGAUCAAGAGCUGUCUUUAAAAUGGGGAAAAUGUUUGACUAGAAACUUCAUAGAGGAAGAUAAACUAAUGGCCAAGAAACACACAAAAAAAACACUCAACAUCAUCUGUCAACAGGGAAAUGCAAAAUGAAAUCUGCAAUGAAACACUAACACCCACCCACCAGGAUAGCUAAAAUUAAAGACUGAUACCAAGUGCUGGCAAGAAAGUGGAGCAAUGGGGCUUCUUGUGCCUUGUGGGGUUUCACUGUGUAGCUUUGGAGCCUAUCCUGGCACUCACUCUGGAGACCAGGCUGGCCUUGAACUCACAGACAUCCACCUGCCUCUGCCUCCCGAGUGCUGGGAUUAAAGGCAUGCGACACCAAUGCCCCGUACACUUUUAGAUCUUUACAUAAGUGAAAGACCCAUCCAAGAAUGGUCAAAGCUUUUCUGUGUUCCAACUCUACUUGGAACAGCCCCGGUGACUACCUAGAGAAUGGAGAAUUCUCCUGAUAGAAUCAGCUGGUGGAAUAUGACUCAGCAACAAAAGAGGCCAACUACCAAACACGAGCCACAACAUGAAUGAAUGUCCUAUGUGACUUAAAGAGGCACAGAGUCAACUCUACCCUGAGUCAAUUUCUGUGAAGACCCGAAACAAAUGAAACUAAUGUGGGGCGACAAGAUUAGAGCAACCUGGAAGGAGGAACGUUCUGGAGAGUUCGUAAUGUCUCUUGAUAGGAGUUUCAGUGACAUGGGUACAGGUGUCUGUUGCCUAAUGUGGAAAUAAGGUCUGUGCACUUCUUGUAUGUGAUUUUUAACCUUAGAAACAGUCUACAGAAAGGACUGGGGUUUGGUUCAGUGGCGGGGUGUUAGGAUAUGCGAGGCCCUGGGCUCUUUCCACACACGCAUACAUACUGCCAUUGUGUCGGGAAGUGAUUAGAAACAACAUACAUUGAUGUCUGUAACUUUCUUUGAAACACAUUCUCCCCACCCCCACACACAUAAUAAAUCAAUACUAAUUUUUAAAGGAGAAAAAAGGUACAAGGGAACUCCAAAGAUGGUCCUUCUCCUCUUCCAUCCCCAGCGUCUGUCCGAACUGGUUCAUUUCAUCCACCUGGACCACCUUUCAGACUCUCCCUCAACCCCAUAUAGACAUCCAACUAAUGGCCACUCUGCUCUCUCUUCCUCCACCCACUUCAGCCACGGUCCCAAAGAGCUGCACAACCAGCCUGGCCUGCCCACCUUCAGGCCAUUAGAAACAAGCUCAAUCUUAUUUCUGGUAAGCCAUUGCAUGUGGAUUUUUCUCUUAAAUCAACUGAAUGAAAUCUUAAAUGAUGCUUGAUCUCACCUACAGUGCUGCAGAUGACUUGAAGGCAAUACCUGGGAUCUGUUUGCCUCAAAGUGCUUGGCGGAACACAGAUUCUACAUAAAUUCUCGCAGGAGUGAGGGCACUCGAUGACAGCCAGAGGCACAGACACAGAAAACAGAAGACGCAGCCUGAGCGCCAGCCUGGAUAAGAAGGAGUUCACAACCCAGGCCUGGGCCGUGGCGGCGCACACCUUUAAUCCCAGCAUGCAGGAGGCAGAGGCAGGCGGAUCUCUGUGAGUUCAAGGCCAGCCUGGUCUACAGAGCAGUUUCAGCACAGCCCAGGCUACACAGAGAAACCCUGUCUCAAAAGAAAAAAAAAAAGAUACAAUCCAUAUUCCAUUCAGUUCACACAUUGAAAGUAUUCAGUAGGGACUGAGGAGAUGGCUUGGUGGGUAAAGUGGUUGCUGUGUAAACAUGAGAACCUGAGUUUGGAUCCCCAGAACUCACAUGCUCCUAUAAUCCCAACUCUGGGACGUGGAGAUGGGAGCACCCCUAGGGCUUUCUGGCCAGUCAUUCUAGCCUAUCAGAGACUCCAGGUUCAGUGAGAGACUCUGCCCUUAAACAUAAGGAAGAAUGCAAUAGAAGACACUGACAUUGACCUCUGACCUCCACAUGUGCAAGUGCUCUCCCAUACACAGGUGCAUACACAGCAGAGCAUACUAUAGAACGUCUUUAGUAUAGUAACAGAUUGUAAAUCACUCCUGAAGUCAAUCUGAUUUAUGCAUUUAUUUUAGGCAGAGUUCAGACCUAGGCUAGGCCCUGAAACCUUAUGGUGAUGACAAGAUUCCUAUCACCCGGCAUCCAUCCCCUAUGUGCCAGGAUUUAGGUUAUACAUAACCACAUUUAGCCCUGUGAUCAAUUUUUAGAAUAAUUUUAUUAUGUCAAAAAGAAAUCUUUACCAGGGUGUGGCAGCUCACAUCAUUAAUCCCAGCACUUGGGAAGCUGAGGCAGGAAGAGAGUCACAAGUCUGAGGCUAGGUAGUCUUAGGCUAUAUAGUGAGUUCAAGGCCAGCCUGUGCUAUAUAUCAAGACUUCUGUCCCAGGAGAGGAAGUGGAAGAGGAGGAAGAUGAAGAAGAAAUAAUUCAUUGUAUAUACUUUAUAUAAAUGGAAUUAGAAACUGAGUCUCAUCGCUCAGGUUUAUUAAACACAGCUACUCAAAAGUCUUAGGCAGAAGAAUGCAACGUUCAAGGCCUGACUAAGUGGCAUGUGAGUUCUAGGCCACCCAGGCCAACUUAGUAAGACUCUGUCUCAAAAUGAAAAAUGGAAUGGGUUGUAGUUCAGUGGUAGGAUGUAUGAGGUUCUAGAAUGUAUGCAGUUUUAUUUGGUACCAGGGAUUAUAAAUAGGGCUGGGGGAUACAGCUUCGUGGUAGAGUACUUGGCCAGUGUCUCACUUACUUUUCUAACCCUGUGACAAAAUGCCAUGACCAAGGCAACUUAUAAAAGAAAGAGUUUGAGUUUACAGUUUCAGAGGCCUAGAAUCCAUGAUGACAGAGCACAGCCAUGGCAACAAGAACAGCUAAGUGCUCACAUCUUCCCACGUGUAGGAGAUAAAGAGAGAACACUGGAAACGCCCGAGUCUAAUGCCCUAGUGAAGCCACAUCUCCUCCAAUAAGGCCACACCUCCUCCAACAAAGCCACACCUCCUAAUCCUUCCCAAACAGUUCCACCAACAGGGACCAAGCAAGUAUUCAAACAUCUGAGCCUAUGGGAGUCAUUCUCAUUCAAACCAUCACAACCAGCAUGUGCAAGGCCCUGAGUUCAUUCUCCAGCACACAGCAUACACAAACAGGAUUCUCUGGUAAUAGGAUACAUGGUCUUCUUGCUUAGCAAGUUUUCAAGGUUCAUGGGGGGCUGGGUCAGGUCAGUACUUCACUCAUUUUUAUUGCUGAAUAAGAGUCCAUUGUACACAUACAUUGUUUUUAUUUGCCAUCCAUCAG